This 957-nucleotide ribosomal RNA is filed under the name Vibrio crosai. RNAcentral's name for it is "bacterial SSU rRNA". It matches the Rfam family "Bacterial small subunit ribosomal RNA", at positions 31 to 969 of the family's 1533-position model. Lineage: Bacteria; Pseudomonadati; Pseudomonadota; Gammaproteobacteria; Vibrionales; Vibrionaceae. The record is from RNAcentral.
GGAGGGGGGGGCGGCCCUACACAUGCAAGUCGAGCGGAACGGAGUUAUCUGAACCUUCGGGGAACGAUAACGGCGUCGAGCGGCGGACGGGUGAGUAAUGCCUGGGAAAUUGCCCUGAUGUGGGGGAUAACCAUUGGAAACGAUGGCUAAUACCGCAUGAUGCCUUCGGGCCAAAGAGGGGGACCUUCGGGCCUCUCGCGUCAGGAUAUGCCCAGGUGGGAUUAGCUAGUUGGUGAGGUAAUGGCUCACCAAGGCGACGAUCCCUAGCUGGUCUGAGAGGAUGAUCAGCCACACUGGAACUGAGACACGGUCCAGACUCCUACGGGAGGCAGCAGUGGGGAAUAUUGCACAAUGGGCGCAAGCCUGAUGCAGCCAUGCCGCGUGUAUGAAGAAGGCCUUCGGGUUGUAAAGUACUUUCAGUCGUGAGGAAGGUGGUGUAGUUAAUAGCUGCAUCAUUUGACGUUAGCGACAGAAGAAGCACCGGCUAACUCCGUGCCAGCAGCCGCGGUAAUACGGAGGGUGCGAGCGUUAAUCGGAAUUACUGGGCGUAAAGCGCAUGCAGGUGGUUCAUUAAGUCAGAUGUGAAAGCCCGGGGCUCAACCUCGGAAUUGCAUUUGAAACUGGUGGACUAGAGUACUGUAGAGGGGGGUAGAAUUUCAGGUGUAGCGGUGAAAUGCGUAGAGAUCUGAAGGAAUACCAGUGGCGAAGGCGGCCCCCUGGACAGAUACUGACACUCAGAUGCGAAAGCGUGGGGAGCAAACAGGAUUAGAUACCCUGGUAGUCCACGCCGUAAACGAUGUCUACUUGGAGGUUGUGGCCUUGAGCCGUGGCUUUCGGAGCUAACGCGUUAAGUAGACCGCCUGGGGAGUACGGUCGCAAGAUUAAAACUCAAAUGAAUUGACGGGGGCCCGCACAAGCGGUGGAGCAUGUGGUUUAAUUCGAUGCAACGCGAAGAAC